This is a small nuclear RNA of Zalophus californianus (California sea lion), 135 nucleotides long. Its record names the gene U4. It matches the Rfam family "U4 spliceosomal RNA". Rfam says of the family: U4 small nuclear RNA (U4 snRNA) is a component of the major U2-dependent spliceosome. The structure of U4 snRNA from yeast and human has been reported. The record is from Ensembl. Lineage: Eukaryota; Metazoa; Chordata; Mammalia; Carnivora; Otariidae.
AGCCUUGCGCAGUGGCAGUAUCGUAGCCAAUGAGGUUUAUCCGAGGCGCGAUUAUUGCUAAUUGAAAACUUACCACUCUUGGCCAUAUCAUCAGUGGGGGAACCUGUCAAAAUAUAAGCAUAAUUCUUUACAUAA